This is a long non-coding RNA of Gordionus sp. m RMFG-2023, 993 nucleotides long. RefSeq lists it as uncharacterized. The record is from RefSeq and is a predicted model, not a curated record. The transcript is spliced from 3 exons. NCBI's taxonomy places the organism in Eukaryota, Metazoa, Nematomorpha, Gordioida, Chordodea, Parachordodidae.
UAGGACAUUGAUGAAUUCUGAUAUUUUAUAGAAAUGAUAAUCCAUAAAGUUAUAUGCUUCUAAUUAAACUAUUCCCCAAUAUUAUAAAUGGUUGUUUAUUUUAAUUCCCACCAGGCAGGACAAUUUUGCCAUUUGCAGAAAACAGUUAGGAACUAUUUUAAAAACCUUGUUCGGAAUUACUUUGAAAUACCGCCAGAAUGUCUCCUAAAAAGCCGUAAGCCAACAGUGACAAGAAAUAACUACGUCUAUUAUUCGUAAAACAGCUUUCCUCGAACGGCCGGUCGGCGUUGUUUAGCUUUGCGGGUAUCGAGGAAGAGAACUUUGAUAAGGAAGUGUGAUGUACCAUACCCACAUCGAAGUGCAGGAUCUGACCGAUUGCUAUAUGGAGAGCGGCGGUGAUAGGAUCUGAGCAGCCGUAGAGGCUGAAAGCGGUGGCAUUGGUUGAUCCUUAUUUAUCAAAUUAUUACCAAGGGAUAAAAAAUUGAUAAAUGUAAUGAUAAUAAAACAAGUGAUUCACAUACGAAUAAUAAAACAAGUUCCGCAUGGCAUAUGUCCGAGGAAAGAGAUGACGAUUGGCAUAAAAACAUAAUUAGUUAAUUUAGAGUAUUUAUUAUGAUAAAAUUCUGAAAAAAAUAAUUUGGAGCAGGCGGGAUUCGAACAUGGGAAGACAUGAGAUACAAACUAUUACACCCCUGCCCCGUUUAGUUUUAAAGAAAAUCUUUUUAAAAUUUAUAUUAAUUUGCUUUGCUGCUUUUUUAUAAAAAAUAAUAAAAACUACAUAUAAAAUAAAUUUUCUUAUAAGUAUCGGUAAUAUUGACGGAUACUUUGUAAAUGUAUUCGUAUCUGCUUAAAGCAAGUGGUAUCAAUGAACCCCUGAUUCAUACAACAUAUGAUAAUAAUGAGUGAUUAUAGUACCUGUUGGUAUUAUCCCGAUUUUAAAUGGCGGAGAACUCAAUACGACAUUGGAAUCUGUUAUAUCGAUGCCCAUAUCUU